CCCUUCUAAAGUAAAAUCUAAAUGCCGACAUCUUAUAAGAGGUUGGAUUGUGGGACCAGAGCAUUCGAAAGCAUUCAAAAAAUGCAGCAUUAGAGCAUUUGAAAAAUGGAAAUUUCUUGAGCAAUGUAAAAAUAAACGGAGUAUUUCCAAUGUCCAUCUUUAACGUCUCCUUGCCAAUUGCUUCAAAGAAGGUUUUACGGGAUACUAAAUGAAUAUGUUUGAAGGAGGCUGUAGCAGAUGCUAGAAGAUCUUUUUAUAAGAUAGUUAAUUCUCUAACCGCUAUGGAGGAAGACUUGCAGCAGAUCCAAGACCAAGGGACCUUAUGUGAGGACUUGAUGACCAGAUAUGAAAACCUAUGUAGACGCUUAAGAGCAGAUUAUAUCAAGAAAAUUAAAUGGAUAUUCAUAAAACAAAGAGUCCUAAGAAGGAACACGCAGCUGCCUCUUGAGAAGGUUAUUACCGUUGUAGGAGACAUAACCGUACCACAAUAUGCAGAACAGUUGUUUAAGAAAGGUCCGAUGUAUGCAGAAUGGAAUUCCAGAUUUUAACAUCAUGAUUAUGGGAAUUGAUUCUUGAUGCAUGAAUUCUUACUCUGAGCAUACUCCAGUAGCAAAUUAACUCAUAAAAUCAAAAACUACCUGUAUUGAUAUUUAACCAAAAUGAAC
RNAcentral lists this long non-coding RNA (665 nucleotides) under Androctonus crassicauda. The record is from RNAcentral. Lineage: Eukaryota; Metazoa; Arthropoda; Arachnida; Scorpiones; Buthidae.